Molecule: RNA transcript, 2456 nt
Organism: Salvelinus namaycush (lake trout)
Lineage: Eukaryota; Metazoa; Chordata; Actinopteri; Salmoniformes; Salmonidae
Gene name: ephrin-B2-like
Exons: 4
Source: RefSeq, a predicted model, not a curated record
AAUGGUUUGGGAUUUAUUUUUAUUCUUCUUGUGGAUUUACUGGGAAUAACUGCAAGUAACAUGGAACCUAUUUAUUGGAAUACAUUGAACAAGAGGUCCACUGUCACUAAUAUGUGGUGGUGAAGUCCCAAUGGGCACAGACGUCAAUUCAACGUCUAUUCCACGUUGGUUCAGCGUAAUUUAAUUGAAAUGACGUGGAAACAACGUUGAUUAAACCAGUGUGUGCCAAGUGGGGUUGUUCUUUGCUCAGCUGACAGACCAGAGAUACAGGAGCCCAUUCGGUUCCAAGUUGCUUACCAUGGCUCUCCUCUACGUACAGCAUUCUGGGGACUUCCAGCAGUUGCUCUCAGGAGAUGGUCAGUGUGCGUAGAGAGAACCUUGUUUGACCAGGUGGAGUCAGGCUUCUACAUCAUCGCCCUGGACCACUACACCAACAAGGCAGAGGACACCAACUUUGGACCAAUGGCUCUGGCUUGCUGAUAACAUCUGAUCUGAUGAGACUCCCGAUGCGAUUUGACUUCUGUAUUACUGACUGGAUUCAAUAAAACUUCAUUUGAGAUUCUGUAAUUGAUAGAAAGUGGUAGUUCCCAAUCAGGCAAUUACUAUAAAACAAAUCUGUUUUCCUCAGUGCAAUGUUUGGUGAAUGCAUGGCAUUGUUUUGUUCUCAGUCCUCCUUUUGAAUGCUGUGUGUACUGAUUCAGUUCUAAACGACCUUUGAGUCCAUCCUCACCUCUUCCAUUACUGCAAUGAAUUGUCCGGUCUGCUGAGAGGAUCAUUGGCUACCACCUGCUCUCCAUCGCGGUACUGCAUAACUCCAAGGCAAGGAAGCAUGCAGGAAAGAUCAUCGCUGACCUCUUCCACCCCCUCUGGCAAACGGUUCAGGUCAAUCACGAUCUCCCACCACCUGAACCAUUUCAACCGGCCACCUGGUUCACAAUGAUCCUCUUAUCCGCAUGGACUUUGCACUAUUCAUCCACCGACUAUGCACCCUGCACUAUUCAUCCACCGACUAUGCACCCUGCACUAUUCAUCCCAGACCUGCACGACUCUUACAUGCAUCAUUUAGGAUGUAGCUUAUAGUUCAGUCUGUAGUUUUUUUAGCUUAGUGUUCAUACUGUAUGUGGAUCUGUGGAAAUUCUGUGUGUAUAAUGUCUUUAUAUUAUGUUUAUUGUGGUAGCACCGUUUCACAGUUUGAGGAAGCACAUUUUCACCAUAAAAAAUGCACAUUUAUAAUAAAGCAUUCUGUGCAUCUAGCAUUGCAUUUGCAGACUUAUGUAAGAUAGCCUACUAUUCCUAAUGUGAUGAGUAGAUAAGUCAUAAUUUAGGCUAAUAAUAUAACAAAAACUACUGUUCAAUGCAUGGCGUAGUGGCAUAUAGUAGGCCUAGGCUUUAUCAGAUACAUUUCUUCUCGUUUUCAUAAACACAUUUCAUGCAAUUCUACUACACUUGAUAUGAGACAUUAGAUUAAUAUUUUUUAAUACGACAAAAAUUACAGGGUAGUAUAGGCCUAUAGGCUACUGCUGACCCUGACAAACAGAUCAAUAAUAACAACAUUGUCUGCAACCAUCUAAUCUACAGUAAGCCUAUGAAAAAGGGAAACACACAUUUUACAGGCCUACCGUUUGGAAAGCAAACACCUACUGCUGAAAAGAGAAGGCUAAUCUGUCUGUAGAGGAUUUCAAAAAUAUUCUCAACAGUUUUUGAGCGAUUUUGAUUGAACAACGCUGUUUUUCAAAGUAGCUUAUCUUGAGAUAUUGGCAAGAGCGCAUUUGGCCAUCACCGGUGAGUAGCCUAUGCUUCAUCUUCAUCAUUGUGUGAGUCAGUGUCACUAGAACGUUUAUUUUGUAGCCUAUCUCAUUCACACCCCUGAGUCAAAACAUGUUAGAAUCACCUUUGGCAGCGAUUACAGCUGUGAGUCUAUCUGGGUAAAUCUUUAAGAGCUUUGCACACCUGGAUUGUACAAUAUUUACACAUGAUUCUUUUUAGAAUUCUUCAUGCUCUGUCAAGUUGGUUGUUGAUCAUUGCCGAUUUAAGUCAAACUAUCUAGGCCACUCGGGACAUUCAACGUUGUCUUGGUAAGCAACUCCAGUGUAGAUUUAGUCUUGUGUUUUAGGUUAUUGUCCCCUGCUGAAGGGGAAUUUGUCACCCGGUGUAUGUUGGAAAGCAGACUGAACCAGGUUUCCUCUAGGAUUUUGCCUGUGCUUAGCUAUAUUCCAUUUAUUUGUAUCCUAAAAAACCUCCCUAGUCCUUGCCGAUGACAAGAAUACCCUUAACAUGACGCAGCCAACACCAUGCUUGAAAAUAUGAAGAACGGUACUCAAAUGUAACACUUUGUAUUUCUGGACAUAAAGUUCAUUUAUUUCCCACAUUUUUUACAGUUUUACUUUAGUGCCUUAUUGCAAACAGGAUGCAUGUUUUGUAAUAUUUGUAUUCUGUACAAGCUUGCUUUUUUUCAC